This 253-nucleotide ribosomal RNA is filed under the name uncultured bacterium. Its description in RNAcentral is "partial 16S ribosomal RNA". It matches the Rfam family "Bacterial small subunit ribosomal RNA", at positions 524 to 776 of the family's 1533-position model. The record is from RNAcentral.
UACGGAGGGUGCAAGCGUUAAUCGGAAUCACUGGGCGUAAAGCGCACGUAGGCGGCCCGUUAAGUCAGAUGUGAAACCCCUGGGCUCAACCUGGGACUGGCAUUUGAUACUGGCGAGCUCGAGUCCGAUAGAGGGGGGUGGAAUUCCAGGUGUAGCGGUGAAAUGCGUAGAUAUCUGGAGGAACACCGGUGGCGAAGGCGGCCCCCUGGAUCGACACUGACGCUGAGGUGCGAAAGCGUGGGGAGCAAACAGG